GCCGAAGUGGUGAAACUGGUAGACACGCUGUCUUGAGGGGGCAGUGGGCUAGUCCCGUGCGAGUUCGAGUCUCGCCUUCGGCA
RNAcentral lists this transfer RNA (83 nucleotides) under SAR324 cluster bacterium. Its description in RNAcentral is "tRNA-Leu". It matches the Rfam family "tRNA". From Rfam's summary of the family: Transfer RNA (tRNA) molecules are approximately 80 nucleotides in length. Their secondary structure includes four short double-helical elements and three loops (D, anti-codon, and T loops). Further hydrogen bonds mediate the characteristic L-shaped molecular structure. tRNAs have two regions of fundamental functional importance: the anti-codon, which is responsible for specific mRNA codon recognition, and the 3' end, to which the tRNAs corresponding amino acid is attached (by aminoacyl-tRNA synthetases). tRNAs cope with the degeneracy of the genetic code in two manners: having more than one tRNA (with a specific anti-codon) for a particular amino acid; and 'wobble' base-pairing, i.e. permitting non-standard base-pairing at the 3rd anti-codon position. The record is from RNAcentral. Lineage: Bacteria; Deltaproteobacteria.